CUUAUCAAGAGUGGUGGAGGGAACGGCCCUGUGAAGCCCGGCAACCUGCGUGAGCGCAAGGUGCCAAAUCCGGCGGUGAAACGAAAGAUGAG
This 92-nucleotide non-coding RNA is filed under the name human gut metagenome. RNAcentral's name for it is "SAM riboswitch (S box leader)". It matches the Rfam family "SAM riboswitch aptamer (S box leader)". Rfam says of the family: The SAM riboswitch is found upstream of a number of genes which code for proteins involved in methionine or cysteine biosynthesis in Gram-positive bacteria. The SAM riboswitch acts at the level of transcription termination control. The record is from RNAcentral.